RNAcentral lists this signal recognition particle RNA (299 nucleotides) under Sparus aurata (gilthead seabream). Its description in RNAcentral is "Metazoan signal recognition particle RNA (ENSSAUG00010005934.1)". It matches the Rfam family "Metazoan signal recognition particle RNA". From Rfam's summary of the family: The signal recognition particle (SRP) is a universally conserved ribonucleoprotein. The record is from Rfam by way of RNAcentral. Lineage: Eukaryota; Metazoa; Chordata; Actinopteri; Spariformes; Sparidae.
GCCGGGUGCGGUGGCGCGCGCCUGUAAUCCAAGCUCCCGGGAGGCUGAGGCUGGAGGAUCGUUUGAGCUCAGGACCUCUGAGCUGCAGCGGACUAUGUCGAUCGGGUGUCCGUACUAAGUUCGGUAUCGAUAUGGUGCUCCUGGGGGAGCCCGGGACCACCAGGUCGUCUAAGGAGGGGUGCACCGGCCCAGGUCGGAGACGGAGCAGGUCAAAGCCCCCGUGCCGCUCAGUAGUGGGAUCGCGCCUGUGAAUAGACGCUGUAGUGCAGCCUGAGUAACACAGCGGGACCCAGUCUUUA